This is a regulatory RNA element of Hymenobacter sp., 94 nucleotides long. It matches the Rfam family "SAM riboswitch aptamer (S box leader)". From Rfam's summary of the family: The SAM riboswitch is found upstream of a number of genes which code for proteins involved in methionine or cysteine biosynthesis in Gram-positive bacteria. The SAM riboswitch acts at the level of transcription termination control. The predicted structure consists of a complex stem-loop region followed by a single stem loop terminator region. Lineage: Bacteria; Pseudomonadati; Bacteroidota; Cytophagia; Cytophagales; Hymenobacteraceae. The record is from Rfam.
UUUUUAUAAAGAGGCGCCGAGAGACAGGCUCGUUGACGCGCCGGCAACCCCCCGCCUUUGGCGGGCCCGGUGCCAAGGCCUGGUUCUAUAAAAC